UUUUUUUCAUUUUAAAAUUAAUUAUCUUUAAUAACCGAGAGAUUAGAUUAUCAGAUUUUACUAUAAAAACACUUGUUAAUCAUAUUUUACCAUAAACUUAACUUAUAUGUAGUCGCUCCAAACUUGUACACAUCAUACUUUGGAAUGGAUUGCAAGACAGAAAAAAUCUUCAAUGUUCUUCUAUCUUGAACACAAUAUUUUUUUCUGCUCUUGCAAUCCAUCCUAACAUAAUGGUGUUGAUGUUGUUUUUGUAUUUUUG
Molecule: long non-coding RNA, 259 nt
Filed under: Lathyrus oleraceus (garden pea)
Lineage: Eukaryota; Viridiplantae; Streptophyta; Magnoliopsida; Fabales; Fabaceae
Description: Pisum sativum (pea) long non-coding RNA (PSAT_LNC014054)
Source: RNAcentral